RNAcentral lists this ribosomal RNA (739 nucleotides) under uncultured soil bacterium. RNAcentral describes it as "bacterial SSU rRNA". It matches the Rfam family "Bacterial small subunit ribosomal RNA", at positions 30 to 763 of the family's 1533-position model. The record is from RNAcentral.
UGAACGCUGGCGGCGCGCCUAAUACAUGCAAGUCGAGCGAGAAGACGUGGCAAUACGUUUGUAAAGCGGCGAACGGGUGAGGAAUACAUGGGUAACCUACCCUCGAGUGGGGAAUAACUGGCCGAAAGGUUAGCUAAUACCGCGUACGCUUCUUGGACUUCGGUUCAGGGAGGAAAGCGAUACCGUGGGUAUCGCGCUCUUGGAUGGGCUCAUGUCCUAUCAGCUUGUUGGUGAGGUAACGGCUCACCAAGGCUUCGACGGGUAGCUGGUCUGAGAGGACGAUCAGCCACACUGGCACUGCGACACGGGCCAGACUCCUACGGGUGGCAGCAGUAAGGAAUAUUGCGCAAUGGGCGAAAGCCUGACGCAGCGACGCCGCGUGGGGGAUGAAGGUCUUCGGAUUGUAAACCCCUUUCGGGAGGGAAGAUGGAACGAGCAAUCGUUCGGACGGUACCUCCAGAAGUAGCCACGGCUAACUUCGUGCCAGCAGCCGCGGUAAUACGAAGGUGGCAAGCGUUAUUCGGAUUUACUGGGCGUACAGGGAGCGUAGGCGGUUCGGUAAGCCCUUUGUGAAAUCUCCAGGCUUAACCUGGAACAGUCGGAGGGGACUGCCGGGCUAGAGGACGGGAGAGGAGCGCGGAAUUCCCGGUGUAGCGGUGAAAUGCGUAGAGAUCGGGAGGAAGGCCGGUGGCGAAGGCGGCGCUCUGGAACGUUUCUGACGCUGAGGCUCGAAAGCGUG